CGGGAAGUAGCUCAGCUUGGUAGCGCACUUGGUUUGGUACCAAGGGGUCGCAGGUUCGAAUCCUGUCUUCCCGA
This 74-nucleotide transfer RNA is filed under the name Klebsiella pneumoniae. RNAcentral describes it as "tRNA-Pro". It matches the Rfam family "tRNA". Rfam says of the family: Transfer RNA (tRNA) molecules are approximately 80 nucleotides in length. Their secondary structure includes four short double-helical elements and three loops (D, anti-codon, and T loops). The record is from RNAcentral. Lineage: Bacteria; Pseudomonadati; Pseudomonadota; Gammaproteobacteria; Enterobacterales; Enterobacteriaceae.